Molecule: non-coding RNA, 94 nt
Organism: Acanthosepion pharaonis
Lineage: Eukaryota; Metazoa; Mollusca; Cephalopoda; Sepiida; Sepiidae
Source: the annotation of a GenBank genome assembly
GGAACCACAUUCCUAUAAGAUUACCGAAGUUAAGCAACGUCGAGCCUGGUCAGUACUUCGAUAGGUGACUUCUUCGGAAUACCAUGUGCUGUAA